Molecule: long non-coding RNA, 727 nt
Filed under: Numida meleagris (helmeted guineafowl)
Lineage: Eukaryota; Metazoa; Chordata; Aves; Galliformes; Numididae
Description: lncRNA (ENSNMEG00000007512.1)
Source: RNAcentral
GUUCCCAUUUCCUGAAUUCUCCUCUUCCCCAGUGAUAGUUCCACGUUAAUUUUGAGGGCAGUCUGCAGAGAGAUGUGCUGCUGUGACCUCGUGGUGUGAUCGAUCUGAAGAUGUGAUGAACGCUCUUGAAGUCUGAAUGCUUUAGGGAAAAGAAAACAAACCAUGGAUUUCUUUCUUUUCUAAAGCAUUUCUUUGUAUGAUAACCUCACAGUUGAGUGUAUACCUUGGUGAACCGUCCUUCUCCAAAACGUGGUAGUGGGAAUGAAGAACUGCUGAUCUGCAGUACCCGUUUUCUUGGGAUCAAGAGGCACGGUCUGCGGACAGGUAGAAUCCCCACUCGUGUGUGUGAAGCAGCAUGUGCCGUGACAUUGUGCAGCCACACAACAGCAGAGCUCUGAGUGCCAGCUGCUGGGAGCUGCCAUGGAGCUGCCUGCACCCAGGUUUAUCAUAUGCUCGGCUCAUCCAUCUGUGUCUCAGUCUCCGGUGGACUCAUGAGUUUCAUCAAGAAAACCAUUUUCAAACCAGCAGACCAAAACAGAUCGUUUUCGACUCCCAGCCUCAUCGAGGCUUUGCAGUAGUUUUGCCUCGUGUUUACGAUUUAUGGAUGCAACAGAAACACAGAGCAGGCGGGAGUGGUCCAGAGAUUUCCCCAUUGCAGGGCUGUGAGAGCUUCCACAUUGGAGUUUCAUCUGGGGGAGUAACGCAUCCUCUGGGCACUGCAGGUUGA